AUUGAACGCUGGCGGCAGGCCUAACACAUGCAAGUCGGGCGGAUGAAGGGAGCUUGCUCCUGGAUUCAGCGGCGGACGGGUGAGUAAUGCCUAGGAAUCUGCCUGGUAGUGGGGGAUAACGUCCGGAAACGGGCGCUAAUACCGCAUACGUCCUGAGGUAGGAAGUGGGGGAUCUUCGGACCUCACGCUAUCAGAUGAGCCUAGGUCGGGUUAGCUAGUUGGUGGGGUAAGGGCCUACCAAGGCGACGAUCCGUAACUGGUCUGAGAGGAUGAUCAGUCACACUGGAACUGAGACACGGUCCCGACUCCUACGGGAGGCAGCAGUGGGGAAUAUUGGACAAUGGGCGAAAGCCUGAUCCAGCCAUGCCGCGUGUGUGAAGAAGGUCUUCGGAUUGUAAAGCACUUUAAGUUGGGAGGAAGGGCAGUAAGUUAAUACCUUGCUGUUUUGACGUUACCAACAGAAUAAGCACCGGCUAACUUCGUG
Molecule: ribosomal RNA, 484 nt
Filed under: uncultured bacterium
Lineage: Bacteria
Description: partial 16S ribosomal RNA
Rfam family: Bacterial small subunit ribosomal RNA
Source: RNAcentral